This is a non-coding RNA of Camellia sinensis, 895 nucleotides long. The record is from RefSeq and is a predicted model, not a curated record. Lineage: Eukaryota; Viridiplantae; Streptophyta; Magnoliopsida; Ericales; Theaceae.
GGAUGACACAGCUUUCGUGGUUGUGGUGUUAGUUUUCUUGCCAGAACCGUAAAAUCCAAUCAAAAGAAGGUUAAAGAGUCAUGGGUAAGGACUCAAAGGCAAAGGAGUCAAGAGGAAAGGGAAAGGGAAAACAGGCAGUGGGAGGAAGUGAUGAUACUGCUUCAAAAGGUAAAGGAAAAGGUGUGAAGACAGAUGGGCUUGGUACCUGCACAUAUGUCAAAGGUUGUUUCUUCCCCUUAAUCUGUUUUUCAGGAGCUUCUAUGUUAUUUUAACUGCAAUUUAUUUAGUAUGUUGAGUCUCCUGAUUUGACUCUGGGUUUUGGAUUUUGUUUUAGCAAGGCAUAGCUUUCGUGAGAAGCAAGGGAAGAUUAAUGAAGCAUACAAGAAGCUAGAAGAUGUCUGACUUAGUAAUGGCGAUAAGGUUCCACCUGCUGAGUUCGCAAAGCUAGUAGCAGAAUAUUCAGAGUGUACAUCAGGGAAGAAGGUUGGAGACUUCAGAUGGUUUCCGUGUGGCAAGAUGGCUAGCCUAUUUCAGGAUGUUGCCUUUAGCACACCUGUUGGAGCUACCAGUGCACCAUUUAAAUCAAUGUAUGCUAUUUUAAUUCCUGAUUUUUGCUCUUCAAACCUGCUAACCAUGUAUUAAGCUCUAUCUUAUGCUGUUCAUGUUGCUCAGGCCGGCUAACUUUGUUAUGCUAGUGAUGGUACAGGCAUGGAUACCACAUUAUCUUGUCUGAAGGGAGGAAGAAUUGAUAGAACUUGGCAUUCAAAGUUGGGCUCCCUCAGAUUAUUAAUCAUGAAAUCAAAGUAAUCAUUGUGUAUUUAUCUGUGUGAGACUUUGGCUUGAUUGUGGCAUGGUUUUUAGAAUAUAAUUGACUCAAUGACACUUCACCCUUUUA